CGUGCCCAGUCGUGGGGGAUAACGUAGUGAAAAUUACGCUAAUACCGCAUACGAUCUAUGGAUGAAAGCGGGGGAUCGCAAGACCUCGCGCGAUUGGAGCGGCCGAUAUCAGAUUAGGUAGUUGGUGGGGUAAAGGCUCACCAAGCCAACGAUCUGUAGCUGGUCUGAGAGGACGACCAGCCACACUGGAACUGAGACACGGUCCAGACUCCUACGGGAGGCAGCAGUGGGGAAUUUUGGACAAUGGACGCAAGUCUGAUCCAGCCAUUCCGCGUGCAGGACGAAGGCCUUCGGGUUGUAAACUGCUUUUGUACGGAACGAAAAAGCUCUUAUUAAUACUAGGAGUCCAUGACGGUACCGUAAGAAUAAGCACCGGCUAACUACGUGCCAGCAGCCGCGGUAAUACGUAGGGUGCAAGCGUUAAUCGGAAUUACUGGGCGUAAAGCGUGCGCAGGCGGUUAUAUAAGACAGAUGUGAAAUCCCCGAGCUUAACUUGGGAACUGCAUUUGUGACUGUAUAGCUAGAGUACGGCAGAGGGGGAUGGAAUUCCGCGUGUAGCAGUGAAAUGCGUAGAUAUGCGGAGGAACACCGAUGGCGAAGGCAAUCCCCUGGGCCUGUACUGACGCUCAUGCACGAAAGCGUGGGGAGCAAACAGGAUUAGAUACCCUGGUAGUCCACGCCCUAAACGAUGUCAACUGGUUGUUGGGUCUUCACUGACUCAGUAACGAAGCUAACGCGUGAAG
RNAcentral lists this ribosomal RNA (743 nucleotides) under uncultured beta proteobacterium. RNAcentral describes it as "bacterial SSU rRNA". It matches the Rfam family "Bacterial small subunit ribosomal RNA", at positions 125 to 864 of the family's 1533-position model. Lineage: Bacteria; Pseudomonadati; Pseudomonadota; Betaproteobacteria. The record is from RNAcentral.